GGAAUAUUGGACAAUGGGCGAAAGCCUGAUCCAGCAAUGCCGCGUGAGUGAUGAAGGCCUUAGGGUUGUAAAGCUCUUUUACCCGGGAUGAUAAUGACGGUACCGGGAGAAUAAGCCCCGGCUAACUCCGUGCCAGCAGCCGCGGUAAUACGGAGGGGGCUAGCGUUGUUCGGAAUUACUGGGCGUAAAGCGCGCGUAGGCGGGUGUGUAAGUUAGAGGUGAAAGCCCGGAGCUCAACUCCGGAACUGCCUUUAAGACUGCAUCGCUAGAACGUUGGAGAGGUGAGUGGAAUUCCGAGUGUAGAGGUGAAAUUCGUAGAUAUUCGGAAGAACACCAGUGGCGAAGGCGACUCACUGGACAACUGUUGACGCUGAGGUGCGAAAGCGUGGGGAGCAA
This 396-nucleotide ribosomal RNA is filed under the name uncultured bacterium. Its description in RNAcentral is "bacterial SSU rRNA". It matches the Rfam family "Bacterial small subunit ribosomal RNA", at positions 358 to 771 of the family's 1533-position model. The record is from RNAcentral.